GACGAACGCUGGCGGCGUGCUUAACACAUGCAAGUCGAACGGAAAGGCCCUGCUUUUGUGGGGUGCUCGAGUGGCGAACGGGUGAGUAACACGUGAGUAACCUGCCCUUGACUUUGGGAUAACUUCAGGAAACUGGGGCUAAUACCGGAUAGGAGCUCCUGCUGCAUGGUGGGGGUUGGAAAGUUUCGGCGGUUGGGGAUGGAUUCGCGGCUUAUCAGCUUGUUGGGGGGGUAGUGGCUUACCAAGGCUUUGACGGGUAGUCGGCCUGAGAGGUUGACCGGCCACAUGGCGACUGAGAUACGGCCCAGACGGCUACGGUAGGCAGCGGGGGGGAAUAUGGCACAAUGGGCGGACGUCUGAUGCAGAAACGCCGCGUUCGUGAUGCCGGUCUUCGGGGUGUAAACCGCUGUCGCCUGUGACGAAGCUGUAGUGACGUUACUGGGUAAAGAAGCACCGGCUAACUACGUG
RNAcentral lists this ribosomal RNA (468 nucleotides) under uncultured bacterium. RNAcentral describes it as "partial 16S ribosomal RNA". It matches the Rfam family "Bacterial small subunit ribosomal RNA", at positions 28 to 507 of the family's 1533-position model. The record is from RNAcentral.